This 460-nucleotide ribosomal RNA is filed under the name uncultured bacterium. RNAcentral describes it as "partial 16S ribosomal RNA". It matches the Rfam family "Bacterial small subunit ribosomal RNA", at positions 338 to 795 of the family's 1533-position model. The record is from RNAcentral.
CCUACGGGCGGCAGCAGUGAGGAAUAUUGGUCAAUGGCCGAGAGGCUGAACCAGCCAAGUCGCGUGAGGGAAGACGGCCCUACGGGUUGUAAACCUCUUUUGUCAGGGAACAAAGGCGGGGACUAGUCCCCGGAUGAGGGUACCUGAAGAAAAAGCAUCGGCUAACUCCGUGCCAGCAGCCGCGGUAAUACGGAGGAUGCGAGCGUUAUCCGGAUUUAUUGGGUUUAAAGGGAGCGUAGAUGGGUUGUUAAGUCAGUUGUGAAAGUUUGCGGCUCAACCGUAAAAUUGCAAUUGAUACUGGCAGCCUUGAGUACAGUUGAGGUAGGCGGAAUUCGUGGUGUAGCGGUGAAAUGCUUAGAUAUCACGAAGAACUCCGAUUGCGAAGGCAGCCUACUAAACUGCCACUGACAUUGAUGCUCGAAAGUGUGGGUAUCAAACAGGAUUAGAUACCCGUGUAGUC